This 253-nucleotide ribosomal RNA is filed under the name uncultured bacterium. RNAcentral describes it as "partial 16S ribosomal RNA". It matches the Rfam family "Bacterial small subunit ribosomal RNA", at positions 524 to 776 of the family's 1533-position model. The record is from RNAcentral.
UACAGAGGGUGCGAGCGUUAAUCGGAAUUACUGGGCGUAAAGCGUGCGUAGACGGUUAUUUAAGUCGGGUGUGAAAGCCCCGGGCUCAACCUGGGAACUGCAUUUGUGACUGCAUCGCUGGAGUGCGGCAGAGGGGGAUGGAAUUCCGCGUGUAGCAGUGAAAUGCGUAGAUAUGCGGAGGAACACCGAUGGCGAAGGCAAUCCCCUGGGCCUGCACUGACGCUCAUGCACGAAAGCGUGGGGAGCAAACAGG